AACAUAAUCAGAUGUUUCUUGGUAUUUUGUUUGUUGGUUUGUUUGUUUUCAGAAAUCUGUAAGCUGUUCCUAAGAUUCACACACAAUCCAGUAGAACAAAUAACCAAAACAACCUUAAAAGAAGAAAUUAAAGUGAGAAGAGAACUUCCCAAUUGCAAACCAUCCCUCUUUCCAGGUCUAUAAAGUUGACAACCAAGAUUAGCCACCCCAAGGGCUAACUGUGAUCAAAUUGCAUUCUGUGUCUGCAUGGAAGCUCUCAGUGAAACUCCCUACGCUCUUCCUGUGCCCAGGUAACAUGUACUGAGAAAUAUGCAGGUAAAAUCCGUGGAGAAAGAGAAAAGAAGAGGAAGAAAAUGCAUGCUUGGGCACCCUCUGAGACCUGGAGCCUCUCCAUGUUGUACGCUCCAGAUCAUUUGAGCGAAGGUAGCUUCCACACCUGAGACCACCAAGCAGUUGGUCACAUUGUAGCCGUGUGACCCACUUUCUCCUUUCGCUUCAGUCUGGGAGCCUAGCCCACUGAGAGCACCACUCAAGCUUCAGGUGAGUCUUCCCUCUUUGGUUUGACCUUCCCAGAAAUACCCUUAUGGUCAUACCCAGCGAUGUGCUUCUGUGGUUGUUCUAACUCCAGGCAAAUUGACAGUGGAGAUUAACCCUGUGCAGGAAGGGCGUGGUCCUUCCUGUUUUGUGUGGCAGAGACUUCUCUCAAUGCUGCCCGACACCUGACAGAUGCUGAGUAUAGGGGAGAUUGCGUUGAAGGUGCCCUGCCCACCCCUUCCUUCCCUCAGCCAAGAACACAAGAGCAUCAGGAAACUCCAUUGUUAAUCAGAAGCACGUUAAAUCAAACGGACAUACAUAAAAGCAACAGCCGAGGUCUGUCAGCCUGGUGGACUUGCACAGCAGAAACCUAUAAAAACAUUUUACAAGAGGGACAAGCCAUUUACGGUAAUACUGAGAAUUUUAUGUGCUGUGCAAUUAUCCAAGCUCCGGUGUCACCUUUUGACAUGACUGAUGACUGUCUGAGGCUGCAAAUCCAUCUUACAUCAUUUAUUUCCCCAAAUAAAAUAAAGAGAAUUAACAUCUGGGAGGAACUUUAAGAGGCUUUAAGAACUCUUCCUGAGAGAAAAUGAUAUACCCUGUGAGAGCAAAGAGCAGACUGAAGAUUUCUAAUGCCAUAGAAGGUAUUGAAGACUUAAAAAACAAAAACAAAACAAACAAACAAAAA
This 1222-nucleotide long non-coding RNA is filed under the name Meriones unguiculatus (Mongolian gerbil). RNAcentral's name for it is "lncRNA (ENSMUGG00000002243.1)". Lineage: Eukaryota; Metazoa; Chordata; Mammalia; Rodentia; Muridae. The record is from RNAcentral.